This 531-nucleotide ribosomal RNA is filed under the name uncultured bacterium. RNAcentral describes it as "bacterial SSU rRNA". It matches the Rfam family "Bacterial small subunit ribosomal RNA", at positions 397 to 919 of the family's 1533-position model. The record is from RNAcentral.
CCGCGUGAGUGAAGAAGGCCUUCGGGUUGUAAAGCUCUUUCGGCCGGGAAGAAAUCGUGUUCUCUAACAUAGGACAUGGAUGACGGUACCGGACUAAGAAGCACCGGCUAACUACGUGCCAGCAGCCGCGGUAAUACGUAGGGUGCGAGCGUUAAUCGGAAUUACUGGGCGUAAAGCGUGCGCAGGCGGUUUUGUAAGACAGAUGUGAAAUCCCCGGGCUUAACCUGGGAACUGCGUUUGUGACUGCAAGGCUAGAGUACGGCAGAGGGGGGUGGAAUUCCUGGUGUAGCAGUGAAAUGCGUAGAGAUCAGGAGGAACACCGAUGGCGAAGGCAGCCCCCUGGGCCUGUACUGACGCUCAUGCACGAAAGCGUGGGGAGCAAACAGGAUUAGAUACCCUGGUAGUCCACGCCCUAAACGAUGUCGACUAGUCGUUCGGAGCAGCAAUGCACUGAGUGACGCAGCUAACGCGUGAAGUCGACCGCCUGGGGAGUACGGCCGCAAGGUUAAAACUCAAAGGAAUUGACGGGGA